This is a long non-coding RNA of Etheostoma spectabile (orangethroat darter), 762 nucleotides long. RefSeq lists it as uncharacterized. The record is from RefSeq and is a predicted model, not a curated record. NCBI's taxonomy places the organism in Eukaryota, Metazoa, Chordata, Actinopteri, Perciformes, Percidae. The transcript is spliced from 3 exons.
UGUGUAAACUGCUUUUUUGGCCAGAAUAGACUGGUUGACCUGCGGCAGUGUAUGUCCUGUAUGACAGAUGAACAGCUUUGUAACGUUGAACAGAUGGGUCUCCGAAAGUGAACUGUUGUGUUUAAAGAGAUUCAGAGAAGAGACACGAUGGGGAUUGUCCACUAGGACAAUCAGACAGACAAAGCCUGUGUUUUUAUUUUGAAAGUUAGGCAGAAAGGUUAAUGCUCUGUGUUUGGAAUAGGUGCAAAGUCUGGAUGUGGGUUGGACAAUAUUCAAUGGAUGACUUCAGUUAUAGGGAUUCAUUUGGUGUUGGAAUUUACUAACCAAAUACAAACUUUUUCUGUAUGUGAAUGGCCUUGGAUUACUGUAAGAAAAUCAUUUAUUUGUAGACUUGAAACUAAAUUCCCACACAUUCCUAAUUGUUAAUUGCAAUGAGAGUGUCCCAUAGAGUCCAGUGAGUUUAAACAAAAGCAGACAGCCUGGGGAAACAGACAGAAUUCUUGAGAUUUCAUUGUUUUAUUGAGGUCGAUACACACUAAAGCACACCUGAGCUCAUUCACAUGGCCCACCAGCUGAGAGCUUCUCUGAGGAAACCACUCAGCCUGUGUGAAUCAUAUUUCCUGCAUGUAAAAACAUUGUAACAGAGAUCCCGCUGCUGCAAUCUGCUCACAGUGAACUCUCUGUUUUACUGAGGAUGUCAGUCAAGAAAGAAUUGCUUGUACAGAAGUUUAUACCCUGAGAAAUAAAAAUUAUUUGACAUAA